RNAcentral lists this long non-coding RNA (3530 nucleotides) under Suricata suricatta (meerkat). Its description in RNAcentral is "lncRNA (ENSSSUG00005006442.1)". The record is from RNAcentral. Lineage: Eukaryota; Metazoa; Chordata; Mammalia; Carnivora; Herpestidae.
GAUAAGGAAACCGUUAGACUCAUUCUGAAAGAAAACUUGAAUAUGAGAAAAGUGUCUGCAAAAAUUAUAUCAGGUAUUCUGAAGGAUGAACCUAAGCCUGGGAAACUUGACUGUCGGUCUGCUCUCUCAAAGGAAACUCGGAAAAAUAGCUCAUGGGUAAGGAGAAAGCUGACAAGUUCUGAAACAUGGACUCAUCUCCAGUGUGAAGCUGGUGGAGAAAUACCUCCGCCUGUAUCUCAUCCCCAGAACCACUUCCCUGCCAGCCAGCUUCUGCAGGCUUCGCCAUCAACAAGCCUUCCCGCCAGAGCAGCUCAGGACUGGUUCACACCAUGGUGAAGGGAUGUGAGGCAGCUGAGCCUGAGGUGGUAGAAAACCGCCACACAGUUAGGCACCUUCAUUUGCUGCUCCUCCAUUUCCAGUCUUUUCCAUUCCUUCCCACAUGUCACAGCCCUCUGAGUAACUCUUGCUGGACUGAUGGGCCAUCUCCCAAUUUUGAAGAACUUGGCUGUUGGCUUCUGCUACUUGCUUGUUCUAGAACUUUUGCUUAACAAGUUUGGAUCUCCUUGCUGCCCAGACCUUAGCUUGCGGUGGCUGUCCUGGUCCUGUGUUCUCAGCAUUCUGCCUCAGGGGAUCAUACCAUUAAAAGGUGGGAACAGGACCCCUGGAGUCUUUCUGUGCUCAGGAAGGCAUAUUCUUCUGGGAGGACCCCAAAAGAAGGCCUCCAGCUCCAGCCUGCUUCACAGGCAGGACCUGAGGAUUCAUGCAGUGAAACUUUUCCCAAGUGGAUUCCAAGGAAUACCACAUAGACUGGAGACAUCUCAGAAAUGCCUGAUGGAGGGCUGGAAUGAGCCUUCCAAAGACACUGGACCAAGACCAUGCUGGAGCAUAAGGUACCAGAAGCAAUGGUGGCCCAGACAGGGUUUGGACACAGCUACUGGAAGCAGGAUAGAAAUGCCUGUCGACGUGCCAAGCCCACCUCCUCCCAUACUGGGACACGCAGCAACAUGGAUGUACAUGGAAAUAUUUGGUGUUCUACGCUGAGAAUUCCACAGCAUAUCAUGAGUCAUCCUAAUGUUGUAACUUACAAAACUAAAGUUUGCAAAUGUUAUUUUGGUGGAAUCUGGAAUCACUGUGCUUUUUAUUUAGGUCUUCAGAGUAAUUGUGUUAUGGGAUUUUAAAGUGAGAGACGAUGUAGAUAAUGCCUGUCCACAGAUGAAAUUGCUGUUAUGCUGGGGAAAUAUGUCCGCUGUUGUUGCUUUAGCAAACUGCUGACCGUUAAAAUGCCAAAUAUAUCUCCUCAGUAAAAUUUCAGACUUUCAGUUGAGUAUGUAUAUCUUCUAUAGGCAUAUAGAUUAUAGAUUUGCCAAGCUGAGAGAGUUCUUCAAGACCGAAGUAUAGGCAUUGGUCUGUAGAAAGAAUGGAAGAGUGAGACGUGGAUGUUAGUUCUGGCUCCUUAAAAGACCACGUGACUUUGGGCAAUUCGUUUUGCACCCUUGGAGCACUCUAGCUUACUCAUCUGUAAAAGGAGAAUAAUUUCACUUAUCUCAUGGACUUGUUUGUUUUGUACAUUCAACAAAUGUUUCUUGACUGCGUAUGUGUAUCUGACAUGGUUCUAGACACUGAGGAUACAGCAAUAAAGGAGACAAAGGAAUGUUCCCCCUUUUGAACAUACAUUCAAGAGCAAGAAUAAUAUAGCAUGUUAGUGAUUAUUAGAUGUGAGGCUUACAUUAAAUAACGUAGAUGGUGCCCAGCACAAGGCUUGGCAUGUAGUACUCGAUAGUGAUUUCCUUUGUUUUUUGGGGUUUGUUUGUUUGGUUUGGUUUUAGAAAGAGAGAGUACAAGUGAGGGAGUGGGAUAGAAAGAGAGAGAGAAGAAUCUCAAGCAGGCUCAGGACCAAGAGGAGGGAGUGGGAGAGUGGGUUCAACUUGGGGCUCGACCCCAUAACCCUGAAAUCAUGACCUGAGCCAAAAUCAAGAGUCAGACCCUCAGCCAACUAAGCCACCAGGCACUUCUUCCUUUGCUUCUUUAGUCUUCCUAACGGCUCUUGAAUUAUUCUACAAAAUGGUAGUAAUUGGCAAAAAGCCUGACCCAGUGCCUUCUAGCUCUUAGCAGUUAAUAAGGCCUAAACCUGUUUUUGCUUAAGAAGACAAGUAAUUCUUACAGUUUUGUUUUGUACCUCCUUUAUGGCAGAAUAAUCAAGGUGUUACCUCAACACUGUUGACAAAUGGCCUUUUCUGAAGCCAGUUAGCAGGAGUCUUGCCUCGAGCUAGAUGGCAGGUGUUGGGUCCACAAAGACAAAUGAAUGGUGUCAUUGCUGUUUAAGUAAAACAUGCAGAGAUCACAAUGGCGGUUUCUGUUAAAGUUGUGUGCCCUAUGUCCCGUUGCUAAUACUGGUGAGCUGGGCAAAGUUUGCAUUAUUUAUGGGAGACCAGGUCAUUGACAAAAAACUGGGAAAAGGCAGGCUUAAUGCCUGUGGUAUGUUUAUAUUUCUGUCCCAUUGUGGAAAAUUUGGAAGGUUCAGGAAUGUUGGAAAACAGCAGCCAAAAGUUCACCCCUUGGGGUCAGGUACUUCACUAGACCCAUUUCUCUGUUUCCUCCAGAAACAUCCAGUGAACGUCCAUUUACUGAAUUUCUUCUUCAGGGCUGGGCCUGUGCUAGGCACAGCGGGGUACGGCCCUUGCUUUUAGGCUGUGCCUGGCCUCAUGGCAGAGAGACAGGGCCAGAGGUGGAGAGACAGCUCAGAAGGGGCUCCCACCUUCCACUGCCAGUCUUUCCCAGAGGACAACUGGAAGGAACAAGCUUGUACACAGAAUUUGGGGCAAAAAGUUAGAAUGAUCACACAUACGGCAAUUAUAGGAAUCAAAAAGUGGGGUACAGAGAGGCAAAACACAGAACAAUGGUGAGUGGCCUGCUGGCUGUCCCAUCCCGGGAUCCGGUGUGAGGUCUUGUCUCUCAGAAGAACCUGGAUGUUAGGCUGGAGGCCAGUACCCUAUACCUUGCUUUAAGGACCUACUAAGUGAAAAUUCAGAAUUACAACUCAGAUUAGAUGCAGAAAUUUGCCCAUGGAAGUUGAGUGGUUUUUCUUGAAUCACACAUCUAGCUGGUGGCAGAGCCAGGAUAAUAAUGAAGGACCUUGAAUUUCACUCAGUGCAGUGAGGUUUUUUCCAUUACUCCAUUAGUAAUUGCCUUUACUAAUAUGUGCAUUGUGAAGGUAUCUUUAAAAUAGCAGUCAAUGUUUGAUAAAUAUAUGACUUACCAACAGUUGAUUUAUAUGCAGUUUUUAAAGGAACAUACUUAUAGCAUAAAAGUAGGACAAAGGUUUUUCCAAGUUUCCUUCGGGUGUCCAGGCCCUUUGGUCCUUCUAUCAGAGGUGUGUGUUCAUAAGCAAAUGCUGGCAUUCUGUCAUUCAUUUUUUCCAGAUGUCCUUCUUGAGUAGUGUGUUGGGUUUUAUGUUUUUAAUAUUUCUUAUAUACAUUUUUUUAAAUCUGGACACAUAAAUCCUAAUAAAGUUCUCAACUAUCUCCUCUAUG